This 77-nucleotide ribosomal RNA is filed under the name Mielichhoferia elongata. RNAcentral's name for it is "partial 5.8S ribosomal RNA". RNAcentral also lists the same sequence under 1 other name. Lineage: Eukaryota; Viridiplantae; Streptophyta; Bryopsida; Bryales; Mniaceae. The record is from RNAcentral.
AUAUCUUGAAUCAUCGAGUCUUUGAACGCAAGUUGCGCCCGAGGCUUGUCCAAGGGCAUUUCCGCUAGAGCGUCACC